Non-coding RNA from Oryzias latipes (Japanese medaka), 700 nucleotides. NCBI's taxonomy places the organism in Eukaryota, Metazoa, Chordata, Actinopteri, Beloniformes, Adrianichthyidae. The record is from RefSeq and is a predicted model, not a curated record.
GUUCUCCUUCUUCAGUUCACUCUGGAUCUUCUGCAUUUCUGUCCAUGGUGGGGGAGAUUUAAGAAGAGCAGAGACCAUGACUGCUAGAUUCUUAAAUAGGAGGCAUUUAAGUUCAGCCUCUGGUUUACAGACUCACUUGUAUUUACUCCAUAAAAAAUUGCUGAUGUUCCUUAUAAUUGCUGCAAACUCCUCUUCAGCUUUGUUUAUGGAUGAAUAUUUGGGGAGCCGUAGUCCACACACCUACCCCAGACUUAAGGAAGCUGCAUCUGAGUAUCGGCCUGGCUGGAGCUCCCAUCAGGGAGGAGAUCGAGGCUUCGUGUCACGGACACAGGCGGGGCCACCAUCGCACCUCCACCAUUAUGGGUUAGAGUCUAGAUUUGGUCCGCAAAAGCCCAAGAACAAAAGAAAAUCCAUCCUUUGGCCCAACCCGGAUGUGCACUUCAGUGUGCCAAAGCACCGGGGCUCAAACCGUGGCAGGCUGGGAACCAUCGAGCUAGUCCUCACACCGUCACAUCGGGCAGGGAGGAGGCUGGAAUUCAACCCUGGGGGUGUGUUUCACUUCCAUCCACUCGGAGCUCUUUCACACCUCUUUCAUGCUCUGGGGCAUCUGCAGCCACGGAUUAAGGUCAACAUACCAAUCUAAAGAGAACCUGUCCACUGGGAGGGUGCUGUCAGGAAUAAAAAUGAGAAAAAAACGUUU